GGCUUAGAGUUUGAUCAUGGCUCAGGAUGAACGCUAGCUACAGGCUUAACACAUGCAAGUCGAGGGGCAUCAGGAAGAAAGCUUGCUUUCUUUGCUGGCGACCGGCGCACGGGUGAGUAACACGUAUCCAACCUGCCCUUUACUCGGGGAUAGCCUUUCGAAAGAAAGAUUAAUACCCGAUGGCAUAAUGAUUCCGCAUGGUUUCAUUAUUAAAGGAUUCCGGUAAAGGAUGGGGAUGCGUUCCAUUAGGUUGUUGGUGAGGUAACGGCUCACCAAGCCUUCGAUGGAUAGGGGUUCUGAGAGGAAGGUCCCCCACAUUGGAACUGAGACACGGUCCAAACUCCUACGGGAGGCAGCAGUGGGGAAUAUUGGUCAAUGGGCGCUAGCCUGAACCAGCCAAGUAGCGUGAAGGAUGAAGGCUCUAUGGGUCGUAAACUUCUUUUAUAUAAGAAUAAAGUGCAGUAUGUAUACUGUUUUGUAUGUAUUAUAUGAAUAAGGAUCGGCUAACUCCGUGCCAGCAGCCGCGGUAAUACGGAGGAUCCGAGCGUUAUCCGGAUUUAUUGGGUUUAAAGGGAGCGUAGGUGGACUGGUAAGUCAGUUGUGAAAGUUUGCGGCUCAACCGUAAAAUUGCAGUUGAUACUGUCAGUCUUGAGUACAGUAGAGGUGGGCGGAAUUCGUGGUGUAGCGGUGAAAUGCUUAGAUAUCACGAAGAACUCCGAUUGCGAAGGCAGCUCACUGGACUGCAACUGACACUGAUGCUCGAAAGUGUGGGUAUCAAACAGGAUUAGAUACCCUGGUAGUCCACACAGUAAACGAUGAAUACUCGCUGUUUGCGAUAUACAGUAAGCGGCCAAGCGAAAGCAUUAAGUACUCCACCUG
Molecule: ribosomal RNA, 879 nt
Filed under: uncultured bacterium
Lineage: Bacteria
Description: bacterial SSU rRNA
Rfam family: Bacterial small subunit ribosomal RNA
Source: RNAcentral